UAUGUUGAAUGUUAGAGGUUUCAGAUGCUGGAUCACCGGGUGUCCACAGGUAGGGUGUUGGGUGCUGGGCCACUGGAGCAUGGCAGGAUCAGUGCAUUGAAGAGCUGAGCAUAGACACAGGGGGACAAAAGGUCCUGAGUGUUGGAAAGGCCAGGAACUUGGUGAUUCACUGGAUGGGAUGAGACACUAGGUGGGAUGACUACUGGGCAUCAUGACCUCCUGCCCCGGGCCCAGGUCCCCUCCCACCCUGUGGGACUCACUUGUAGGUCCAGCAGUCGCUCAUGAGUGUGUACAUUUCAGGUGGACACUCUGGUGGGCACUCCAUCCGCUUGCCCUGCUCAAUGAAGGCCAUGACCUCGGGGCCCUUCAUCUUCUGCUCAAGCCAGAGCAAAGGGCAUGAACCUUGAAAAAUGCAAAACCAAGCCGUACAAAACAAGCCUGGCUGCAGUUUUCUGACCCUGCUUUAGGUCAAAGACAAUUGACCACUGACAAUUUCACAUGGGUUGUGAAUUGGCAGAGAGCUGGGGAAGCACCAGCGGCAGAACUUAAUACUUACAAAGCUCCUGUGACAGCGCCAGCCACUGUUAUGAGCACUUUAUAAAUAUCAACUCAUUUGAUCCUCA
Phacochoerus africanus (Common warthog) is the source of this 623-nucleotide long non-coding RNA. RefSeq lists it as uncharacterized. The transcript has 2 exons. The record is from RefSeq and is a predicted model, not a curated record. NCBI's taxonomy places the organism in Eukaryota, Metazoa, Chordata, Mammalia, Artiodactyla, Suidae.